CUCCUACGGGAGGCAGCAGUGGGGAAUAUUGCACAAUGGGGGAAACCCUGAUGCAGCAACGCCGCGUGAAGGAUGACGGUUUUCGGAUUGUAAACUUCUUUUCUUAGUGACGAAGACAGUGACGGUAGCUAAGGAAUAAGCAUCGGCUAACUACGUGCCAGCAGCCGCGGUAAUACGUAGGAUGCAAGCGUUAUCCGGAUUUACUGGGUGUAAAGGGAGCGCAGGCGGGACUGCAAGUUGGAUGUGAAAUACCGUGGCUUAACCACGGAACUGCAUCCAAAACUGUAGUUCUUGAGUGAAGUAGAGGCAAGCGGAAUUCCGAGUGUAGCGGUGAAAUGCGUAGAUAUUCGGAGGAACACCAGUGGCGAAGGCGGCUUGCUGGGCUUUAACUGACGCUGAGGCUCGAAAGUGUGGGGAGCAAACAGGAUUAGAUACCCUGGUAGUCCACACUGUAAACGAUGAUAGCUAGGUGUGGGGGGUCUGACCCCUUCCGUGCCGGAGUUAACGCAAUAAGCUAUCCACCUGGGGAGUACGACCGCAAGGUUGAAACUCAAAGGAAUUGACGGGGGCCCGCACAAGCAGUGGAUUAUGUGGUUUAAUUCGAAGCAACGCGAAGAACCUUACCAGGUCUUGACAUCCGACUAACGAGAUAGAGAUAUGUCAGGUGCCCUUCGGGGAAAGUCGAGACAGGUGGUGCAUGGUUGUCGUCAGCUCGUGUCGUGAGAUGUUGGGUUAAGUCCCGCAACGAGCGCAACCCCUGCCAUUAGUUGCUACGCAAGAGCACUCUAAUGGGACCGCUACCGACAAGGUGGAGGAAGGUGGGGACGACGUCAAAUCAUCAUGCCCCUUAUGACCUGGGCUACACACGUAAUACAAUGGCCGUUAACAGAGGGAAGCAAAGCGGUGACGCAGAGCAAAACCCUAAAAACGGUCCCAGUUCGGACUGUAGGCUGCAACCCGCCUACACGAAGUUGGAAUUGCUAGUAAUCGCGGAUCAGCAUGCCGCGGUGAAUACGUUCCCGGGCCUUGUACACACCGC
This 1039-nucleotide ribosomal RNA is filed under the name uncultured bacterium. RNAcentral describes it as "bacterial SSU rRNA". It matches the Rfam family "Bacterial small subunit ribosomal RNA", at positions 336 to 1393 of the family's 1533-position model. The record is from RNAcentral.